CCUACGGGAGGCAGCAGUGAGGAAUAUUGGGCAAUGGACGCAACUCUGACCCAGCCAUGCCGCGUGAGUGAAGAAGGUUCUCGGAUUGUUAAGCUUUUUUGGUCGUGACGAUGAUGACGGUAGCAUCUAAAGAAGCCCCGGCUAACUUCGUGACAGCAGCCGCGGUAAUACGAAGGGGGCCAGCGUUGUUCGGAAUUACGGGGCGUUAAGGGGGUGUAGGCGGGUUAGUAAGAUAGUGGUGAAAUCCCAGAGCUUAACAUUGGAAUUGCCAUUAUCACUAUUAGACUAGAAUUACAGAGAGGAGAGUGGAAUGCCCAGUGUAGAGGUGAAAUUCGUAGAUAUUGGGUAGAACACCAGUGGCGAAGGCGACUAUCUGGCUGUACAUUGACGCUGAGGCUCGAAAGCAUGGGGAUCAAACAGGAUUAGAUACCCCUGUAGUC
RNAcentral lists this ribosomal RNA (440 nucleotides) under uncultured bacterium. RNAcentral's name for it is "partial 16S ribosomal RNA". It matches the Rfam family "Bacterial small subunit ribosomal RNA", at positions 338 to 795 of the family's 1533-position model. The record is from RNAcentral.